Molecule: non-coding RNA, 147 nt
Organism: Aspergillus melleus
Lineage: Eukaryota; Fungi; Ascomycota; Eurotiomycetes; Eurotiales; Aspergillaceae
Source: the annotation of a RefSeq genome assembly
GCCCGGGUGGUCUAGUGGUAUGAUUCUCGCUUAGUAUGUAUCCACUACCACAAUUAUAAUCCUAUACCAAUUAACUAACAACAUCUUCAGGGGUCACAACCCAAGCAUAUCUGCGAGAGGUCCCGCGUUCGAUCCGCGGCUCGGGCC